AGCAGGGUCACCAAUUCCAAUAUGAACUAGACCACCAAGAAGAUCUACACAAGCUCCAAGUUUUAGUGUGUCAAUUGGGCAUGUUGCCUUUGUUGUUGGUGGUGGAGGGCAUGGUUUUCCUUUAGGGGAUGGUGUAAUAACUGGUGGAACUGUCACGGGUGGAAUUCCGAUAGGUGGCAAGUUAAUAGGAGGUUUUACAAUAGGUGGUAAACCAAUUGGUGGCUUCAGAACUGGUGGAACUGUCACUGGUGGAAUUCCGAUAGGUGGCUUAAUAACGGGUGGAACGACGGGCGGCAAGUUGAUGGGAGGUUUUACAACUGGUGGAACUGUAACUGGUGGAAUUCCGAUAGGUGGCUUAAUAACUGGUGGAACAACUGGUGGCAAGUUGAUGGGAGGUUUUACAACUGGUGGAACUGUCACUGGUGGAAUUCCGAUGGGCGGCUUAAUAACUGGUGGAACAACAGGUGGCAAGUUGAUAGGUGGUUUUACAAUCGGUGGAAUUCCAAUGGGUGGCAAGUUGAUAGGGGGUUUAAUACUUGGAGAGGGAGUUUUGGGUUUUUUGGGUUUGUGAGAGGGUUUUCCACAAUAUCCACAACCAAGAAUGGGAGUGAAUGAAGAAAGGAAAAGCAUGGAAAUGAAAAGAAGACAUGUUAUUUUAGAUGACUCCAUUUUCCUAUGAGGAAAGAGGGAAUAGGUUG
This 698-nucleotide long non-coding RNA is filed under the name Nicotiana tabacum (common tobacco). RNAcentral's name for it is "long non-coding RNA (NTAB_LNC001914)". Lineage: Eukaryota; Viridiplantae; Streptophyta; Magnoliopsida; Solanales; Solanaceae. The record is from RNAcentral.